GUAGGUGAACCUGCGGAAGGAUCAUUAUUGAAUGAACUUGGCUCGUUGUUGCUGGUCCUUUCGGGGGCAUGUGCACACUUGUCAUCUUUAUAUUUCCACCUGUGCACAUUUUGUAGGUCCAAAAAAAUUUUCCCGAGACACUCGUUUUGGGGGACUGCCGUUCGUUAAUGUCGGCUUCCCCUGUUGGCCUGUAUAGGUCAAAAAAAAUUUUCCGAGACACUCGUUUGGGGCACUGCCGUCCGUUAGGUCA
Molecule: unclassified non-coding RNA, 250 nt
Filed under: plant metagenome
Description: partial contains small subunit ribosomal RNA, internal transcribed spacer 1, and 5.8S ribosomal RNA
Source: RNAcentral